CAGUCAGAGACUGAGCCACCAAGCAGAUAUCAAUCAGAGACUGAGCCACCAAGCAGAUAUCAAUCAGAGACUGAGCCACCAAGCAGAUAUCAAUCAGAGACUGAGCCACCAAGCAGAUAUCAGUCAGAGACUGAGCCACCAAGCAGAUAUCAGACAGAGGCUGAGCCACCAAGCAGAUAUCAAUCAGAGACUGAGCCACCAAGCAGAUAUCAGACAGAGACUGAGCCACCAAGCAGAUAUCAGACAGAGACUGAGCCACCAAGCAGAUAUCAGUCAGAGACUGAGCCACCAAGCAGAUAUCAGUCAGAGACUGAGCCACCAAGUAGAUAUCAGUCAGAGACUGAGCCACCAAGCAGAUAUCAAUCAGAGACUGAGCCACCAAGCAGAUAUCAAUCAGAGACUGAGCCACCAAGCAGAUAUCAAUCAGAGACUGAGCCACCAAGCAGAUAUCAGUCAGAGACUGAGCCACCAAGCAGAUAUCAGACAGAGGCUGAGCCACCAAGCAGAUAUCAAUCAGAGACUGAGCCACCAAGCAGAUAUCAGACAGAGACUGAGCCACCAAGCAGAUAUCAGACAGAGACUGAGCCACCAAGCAGAUAUCAGACAGAGACUGAGCUACCAAGCAGAUAUCAGACAGAGACUGAGUCACCAAGCAGAUAUCAGUCAGAGGCUGAGCCACCAAGCAGAUAUCAGACAGAGGCUGAGCCACCAAGCAGAUAUCAAUCAGAG
Molecule: non-coding RNA, 729 nt
Organism: Pelobates cultripes (western spadefoot toad)
Lineage: Eukaryota; Metazoa; Chordata; Amphibia; Anura; Pelobatidae
Source: the annotation of a GenBank genome assembly